UAACAGGUCUGUGAUGCCCUUAGAUGUCC
RNAcentral lists this non-coding RNA (29 nucleotides) under Bombyx mori (domestic silkworm). The record is from RNAcentral. Lineage: Eukaryota; Metazoa; Arthropoda; Insecta; Lepidoptera; Bombycidae. RNAcentral also lists the same sequence under 8 other names.